UGCUUUUGAACUGGGCAAGACCAAAUU
RNAcentral lists this non-coding RNA (27 nucleotides) under Homo sapiens (human). The record is from RNAcentral. Lineage: Eukaryota; Metazoa; Chordata; Mammalia; Primates; Hominidae.